Molecule: ribosomal RNA, 58 nt
Filed under: Lasiodiplodia theobromae
Lineage: Eukaryota; Fungi; Ascomycota; Dothideomycetes; Botryosphaeriales; Botryosphaeriaceae
Also listed under: 2 other names
Description: partial 28S ribosomal RNA
Source: RNAcentral
UUGACCUCGGAUCAGGUAGGGAUACCCGCUGAACUUAAGCAUAUCAAUAAGCCGGAGG